Molecule: ribosomal RNA, 606 nt
Filed under: uncultured bacterium
Lineage: Bacteria
Description: bacterial SSU rRNA
Rfam family: Bacterial small subunit ribosomal RNA (bases 1-517)
Source: RNAcentral
CCUACGGGAGGCAGCAGUGGGGAAUCUUGCGCAAUGGGCGAAAGCCUGACGCAGCCAUGCCGCGUGAAUGAUGAAGGUCUUAGGAUUGUAAAAUUCUUUCACCGAGGACGAUAAUGACGGUACUCGGAGAAGAAGCCCCGGCUAACUUCGUGCCAGCAGCCGCGGUAAUACGAAGGGGGCUAGCGUUGCUCGGAAUUACUGGGCGUAAAGGGAGCGUAGGCGGAUAGUUUAGUCAGAGGUGAAAGCCCAGGGCUCAACCUUGGAAUUGCCUUUGAUACUGGCUAUCUUGAGUACGGAAGAGGUAUGUGGAACUCCGAGUGUAGAGGUGAAAUUCGUAGAUAUUCGGAAGAACACCAGUGGCGAAGGCGACAUACUGGUCCGUUACUGACGCUGAGGCUCGAAAGCGUGGGGAGCAAACAGGAUUAGAUACCCUGGUAGUCCACGCUGUAAACGAUGAGUGCUAGUUGUCGGCAUGCAUGCAUGUCGGUGACGCAGCUACGCAUAAGUACACUCCGCCGUCGGGUAGGUACGGUCGCGAGAGUUAAACUACAAUAGAAGUUAGACGGCGUGAGACGUGACCGACGGACGACGACGAGGGAGGUUAGG